AAAGCACUUUCCAGUACGUUUACUUUGUUACGACUUAUCCCUUUAUCGAGAGUGACGGGCGAUAUGUGCAUGUUUUAGUACUCACUUCAACAAAACAUUAUAAUUUUAAUUUACUCUUAAAUCCUAACUAAAUCUUUCAUUCCACUAAUUUAUAUUAAUCUAUGUAACUUAUUUCAUACUCAACUUUUUGCUGCAUUUUGACCUAACAUUCUAAGUAAAGCCUCUCUUAACAAUUCACCAACCAAUAUCAUUAUGUGAUAGCGAUAUACAAGCUGACCUUACAAAGCUAAGUAAGAUCAUAGUGUUUUAUCUAUUACAGAAUAAAUUCCUCUAAAAAGUCAAAAACACCGCCAAAAUCUUUAAAUUUCAUAAAAUUUAUUUACUCCUAAUCUUUAUUCUCAAUAAUAGGGUAUCUAAUCCUAAUUUUUUAGGAGAAUUUACCAGACUCAAUAAAUUUAAUAAACCUAAUAAUUUCACCUAAUAAGCUAGAAAAGAGGUUUUUAUUUUUCUACAUUAAAUAAUUACUCGCCCUGCCUGCAUAACCGCGACUGCUGGCACAGGCUUCGUCAGGAGACUGAAAAGCUCUAAAUUUAUUUUUUAAAUAACUUAAAUUUAUCUUCUAAAAAAAUGUUUUUCUAUUUUAUGUAUAAAGAAUCUUUAUAUGUAAGUAAUUUUUACUAUAUAAAUAU
RNAcentral lists this ribosomal RNA (689 nucleotides) under Ornithodoros zumpti. RNAcentral's name for it is "12S ribosomal RNA". Lineage: Eukaryota; Metazoa; Arthropoda; Arachnida; Ixodida; Argasidae. The record is from RNAcentral.